RNAcentral lists this ribosomal RNA (2101 nucleotides) under Triticum aestivum (bread wheat). RNAcentral describes it as "partial small subunit ribosomal RNA". The record is from RNAcentral. Lineage: Eukaryota; Viridiplantae; Streptophyta; Magnoliopsida; Poales; Poaceae.
AUCCGGCACUCUGUCAGCCCGACCUUUCGGCCCGAGGUUUUAGGGGUUAGACGAGGUCCACCAGUUUGGUAGGGUGGUAGGGGGCCGCGUGGUGGUACCGUCGUAGGGGCGGCCGCUAGGACCUGCUCGAGAAGCUUCUCUAGGAGGAGGCGGAGGGCGGGCUGCUGGGCCGGACGGAGGAGGCGCGGAGGGAGCAGACGUUCCUGACCCCAACGCGGCAGAGGGCGGGGGUGAAGGCGGCGGCGGAGGUGCUCGAGGUGGCCCGCGGGGGCCACGAGCCGGAGGAGGUGCUGGACCUUACGCUCGCGCAGGGUGCUAAGUAGGGGUGGUGGCGCAGCAGGAAGAGGGAGCGGCGAGGCCUGCCGGCCAAGACCGCCUGGGAGCUGACGGCGGUGCCGGCGCGGGAGAAGGAGAGGUUGGGGGUCAGGGGCCUUUGAGUCCUCGAAGAGCACACCCUCGGUUAGUGCCCACGGGUCGUCGCGUAUUGCCACGGGCGCCGCGAGGUCUCGUUGAAGGGGUACCGCCGGCAGAAGACGCGCCGCCUGCCCACGCUGGUGGCGCGGACGGAGCCCCCGGGAAAGGCGCACGAGAAGUAGGAGAGCCAGCACCAUCCGGUUCAGUGACUGCUGCCGACGAUAGAGUGCAGCCGCACACGUAUGAGCAGCCUCUGACCGUGGACCCCGCUCGGCUGGAGCAACGGGGCGGCGAGCGGGUACGGGUACUAGAAAUGUAAAAUAAGGUCACACGAGCAACCUUUCAGAGACGAGAUGAAGUACAGACUACUACCUAAGUAAGAUCUCACACUGAACCGUUCCGUGUCUGACCGACACAAGUUGGGUGGUUUGGUACUCGACCAGACGCCGGUUAUAUGGUAGUACGAGCGGCUCCUGCCACCUGACCCUCAAACGGUUUCCAACUUAGUCGUCGAGUUUAACACCAGUUCCCUCCACUCACUGUCCCGACUACGUGCUACCUACGACUCGGCCCAGCAGAUGGACCUUUUAAACGAGGGUCAACCACGAGAACACCUACGUCUCUGGUCUCACGUUCACGACCCGAAACGGCUCCCUCGUUUAUGGUAAAAGGACUGGUGCCAACUACCGUAGAAGUACUAGCUUGACGUUAGUCUCGCCCGCUCCUCCCACACGCCACUAGUAGAGAAAACAAUAAACUAAGGUCAACAGUCGAAGAUGUGAGGACACGGAGCUCCACUCGUGUCCCUAGGCAGCAACUUCGUAUCACUCCUAAGUCCACCACCCCUCGUUCCUCCCCUCCUCUUUUGUCUCCUUGUGGUUAACUAGUUGCUUUACUCAGUUUACAAUGGUUCCCCCUGAAACAGUUGCGAAAGCUAACGUAGUUGGUGCGGUAUCUCUUGUCCCAAGGUGGGAUACUACUUCAACGAGGACUCACAUGGUCGUACCAAAUGCCUGUACAUACGCAGAACGAUAUACUUCUUAUGCACUUCUGAAGUUGGUCGUUUCUACUACGACCCUUGAGUUUGCUGGAGUCCAUCGUUACAACUACUACGAGGUGGAAGUCUCUUUUCCCAAGGUGGUUUGCCUCUUCAACAAAACCUCAGAUGUCUGUACCCACAUCGCGAUAUGCUUCGAGCUCUCCACUGACCAGGAAACCCACCACAAGGCUUCUGACGUACUUACUUCUUAGCCACUUCUCAAGUCGUAGUCGUUACAACUUCGACCCAUGAGUACUCCCAAGGGGGUUAAAGGGACCUCAGAUGGUCGUGCCAGAUACCUGUACCUGCGCCGUACGACAUACUUCGAGUUCUCCACUAACUAGGAAACACAUUACAAAGCACUUCAGAAGUCUACGCUGGUCGUUUCUACUACGACCCUUUACUUUUUUUUUUGACACCAACGUUACAACUGCUAUGAAAUGGAAGUCUCUUUACACUGGGAACUAAGUAACAGGGAAAGGGGUCUGGUUACCAUUACCACCACUUUGUGCGUCAAAGCGUCUUCGUCAUUAUUAUUCCAUACUUCAACGGGAACACACCUUAUCAAGGAGUCAACAAUGUGUGUCUUUUUCCCAUACAUGACAACACAUAAUACAUUGAACACAAACCCUGAACCUUUUCAAACGG